Colossoma macropomum (tambaqui) is the source of this 425-nucleotide non-coding RNA. Lineage: Eukaryota; Metazoa; Chordata; Actinopteri; Characiformes; Serrasalmidae. The record is from the annotation of a RefSeq genome assembly.
AGCUGUGUAUCUCAGCAGAGAGCUACACUAAUCCCAUUCAGCUCUGACUCUGCUCUCAGUCACUUCACAUCUCUAUCAACAUGCUGCUCUCUAUCCUUUCUCUCCUAGCACUGCUUUUAGGAGACACAUCAGCACAGACAGUUGUGCCACUGGAAGGAAAAAUGCAUGUUUCAGAGGGUGAUAAUGUUACUCUCUCCUGCAACUACAGUACCAGUGAUACUAAUUAUGCUCUUCAGUGGUAUCGUCAGUUUCCCAGAUCCAGGCCAGAGUUUCUCCUGUACAUUUAUCCUCAGGGAGCUAAGACUGAUCCUCUUCCUCCUCGUAUGUCUGCUGAAGUGGAUAAAGACAAAAAGCGUGUGGAUCUGUUGAUCUACUCUGCUGCAGUAUCAGACUCUGCACUCUACUACUGUUUUCACAGAUUGUAG